GUAAUAGCUACCAUUUGAGUAAGGUAGAAGUGAGCGCUCGAGGCAGGGAGUGUGACGUUUGGAAGCAGGUGGCUGUGCAGUUGGUGACCUCCGUUUUUCCCACGGGGUUGGUCUGCCACCGGCUGUGUUCUCAUCCCCAUCCUGGGCGUCUGCCUGUCGGCGUAUGUCACAUUGGCUUGUUCUCAUGGCGCAUAGUGCCCUGCCGCCUGGAUGCACCACAGUCCUUCAGCCAGCCCCCACUGUGUGCCCUCUGUGGGUGUUAACUCCAGGUACUUGGGCUGCAGGGUAGAGGAGGCAGCCAGGCCUGAGGCUGUGCCCAUCUGUGGCCUUAGGAGUCACAGCAGCCGCUUCUGAGAGGCCAACAGGUAUCAGGGCACCCAGAGCCACCACUGUGUCCAGAACGGCAUUUCCACUUCACUGGCCAGGUCUAAAGUCCUGAGGGGCCUUUGCUCCAGGGACCCAGGGUACCUCCCUCAGCAGGGCAGGAACUAGGCCAGGAAUACCAUGGGGCACUGAAGGAGGAGCCUCCCUCUAUCCCUGUAACCCUCCAUCCCUGUACCUCUCCAUCCCUCCAUCCCUGCACCCCUCCGUCCCUGUGCCCCUCUAUCUCUCCAUCCCUGCACCCCUCCAUCCCUGUACCCCAUCCCUGUACCCCUCCGUCCCCCAUCCCUGCACCCCUCCAUCCCUGUACCCCUCCAUCCUUCCAUCCCUGCACCCUCCAUCCCUGUACCCCUCCAUCCCUCCAUCCCUGUACCCCUCCAUCCUUCCAUCCCUGCACCCUCCAUCCCUGUACCCUUCCAUCCCUCCAUCCCUGCAUCCCUCUGUCCCUGCACCCCUCCAUCCCUCCAUCCCUGCACCCCUCCUUCGUUGUACCCCUCCAUCCUCCAUCUCUGCAUCCCUGCACCCCUCCAUCCUCCAUCCCUGUACCCUUACAUUCUCCAUCCCUGCAUUCCUCCAUCGCAGCAUCCCUGCAUGCCUCCGUUCUCUGCAUCCCUCCACCCCAGUAUCCCUGCACCUCUUCAUCCCUCCAUUCCUGCAUCCCUCUAUUUUUCCAUCCCUCCAUUCCUGUAUCCCUGUGCCCUCCAUCCUCCAUCCCAGCAUCCCUCCAUCCCUGCUCCCCACUCUCACUUCCCUUCCCUUCACAGACAGGCUUUUCCUGCCAUCCUCAGACCCCACCCAGGGUUACCUGAUGCCUUUCCAGCUGCACACGGGGACUGACUCACCUCUCUCUUUCUCAGUCCCAAAGUCCCGAAAGAGAGCAUCUGAUGUGGUCAGCUUGUGACAAGGCGUCCACCUUCUGUCCAUGACAUGGAGGCCAGGGGAAGAAGGAGAUCCGGUUGGCAGCUAAACCGCGCUGGGAACAGGGGCCUGAGUCCUGGACUAGGGCUCUUUCCCCGGGGCUGCUGCAGAUGGGGAGGAGCCUACACCCGCCUCCCGAGUGCUAAUCAGACCUGACAGGCUGGAGAAUGGCCAGUCAGCCUGAGGCCACCGCGGGACACCACCUAGGCCCAGCUUCUCCCC
This 1521-nucleotide long non-coding RNA is filed under the name Homo sapiens (human). Its description in RNAcentral is "non-protein coding SLC25A25-AS1:2". The record is from RNAcentral. Lineage: Eukaryota; Metazoa; Chordata; Mammalia; Primates; Hominidae.